Molecule: ribosomal RNA, 468 nt
Filed under: uncultured bacterium
Lineage: Bacteria
Description: bacterial SSU rRNA
Rfam family: Bacterial small subunit ribosomal RNA
Source: RNAcentral
AUUGAACGCUGGCGGCAUGCCUUACACAUGCAAGUCGAACGGUAACGCGGGGCAACCUGGCGACGAGUGGCGAACGGGUGAGUAAUAUAUCGGAACGUGCCCAGUAGUGGGGGAUAGCCCGGCGAAAGCCGGAUUAAUACCGCAUACGACCUAUGGGUGAAAGCGGGGGAUCGCAAGACCUCGCGCUAUUGGAGCGGCCGAUAUCAGAUUAGGUAGUUGGUGAGGUAAAAGGCUCACCAAGCCAACGAUCUGUAGCUGGUCUGAGAGGACGACCAGCCACACUGGAACUGAGACACGGUCCAGACUCCUACGGGAGGCAGCAGUGGGGAAUUUUGGACAAUGGACGCAAGUCUGAUCCAGCCAUUCCGCGUGCAGGACGAAGGCCUCGGGUUGUAAACUGCUUUUGUACUAGAACGAAAAGGUACGUCUAUUAAUACUAGGGAGUCAUGACGGUACUGUAAGAAUAAG